GGCCCCGAGAGUCUCGUGUCAGGCUGCAAACCUGAAGUCGGCCCUACGGCCCGGGGCUU
This 59-nucleotide transfer RNA is filed under the name Bothrops pubescens. RNAcentral describes it as "tRNA-Cys". The record is from RNAcentral. Lineage: Eukaryota; Metazoa; Chordata; Lepidosauria; Squamata; Viperidae.